This 484-nucleotide ribosomal RNA is filed under the name uncultured bacterium. Its description in RNAcentral is "partial 16S ribosomal RNA". It matches the Rfam family "Bacterial small subunit ribosomal RNA", at positions 30 to 507 of the family's 1533-position model. The record is from RNAcentral.
AUUGAACGCUGGCGGCAGGCCUAACACAUGCAAGUCGAGCGGAUGAAGGUAGCUUGCUCCUGGAUUCAGCGGCGGACGGGUGAGUAAUGCCUAGGAAUCUGCCUGGUAGUGGGGGAUAACGUCCGGAAACGGGCGCUAAUACCGCAUACGUCCUGAGGGAGAUAGUGGGGGAUCUUCGGACCUCACGCUAUCAGAUGAGCCUAGGUCGGAUUAGCUAGUUGGUGGGGUAAAGGCCUACCAAGGCGACGAUCCGUAACUGGUCUGAGAGGAUGAUCAGUCACACUGGAACGGAGACACGGUCCAGACUCCUACGGGAGGCAGCAGUGGGGAAUAUUGGACAAUGGGCGAAAGCCUGAUCCAGCCAUGCCGCGUGUGUGAAGAAGGUCUUCGGAUUGUAAAGCACUUUAAGUUGGGAGGAAGGGCAGUAGGUUAAUACCUUGCUGUUUUGACGUUACCAACAGAAUAAGCACCGGCUAACUUCGUG